UACGUAGGGGGCUAGCGUUGUCCGGAAUCAUUGGGCGUAAAGCGCGUGUAGGCGGUCCGGUAAGUCCGCUGUGAAAGUCGGGGGCUCAACCCUCGGAUGCCGGUGGAUACUGUCGGGCUUGAGUACGGAAGAGGCGAGUGGAAUUCCUGGUGUAGCGGUGAAAUGCGCAGAUAUCAGGAGGAACACCAAUUGCGAAGGCAGCUCGCUGGGACGUUACUGACGCUGAGACGCGAAAGCGUGGGGAGCAAACAGGAUGCGAAACCCCUGUAGUCC
RNAcentral lists this ribosomal RNA (273 nucleotides) under uncultured bacterium. RNAcentral describes it as "partial 16S ribosomal RNA". It matches the Rfam family "Bacterial small subunit ribosomal RNA", at positions 524 to 796 of the family's 1533-position model. The record is from RNAcentral.